AGUGAACGCUGGCGGUAGGCCUAACACAUGCAAGUCGAACGGCAGCACAGUAAGAGCUUGCUCUUACGGUUGGCGAGUGGCGGACGGGUGAGGAAUACAUCGGAAUCUACUUUUUCGUGGGGGAUAACGUAGGGAAACUUACGCUAAUACCGCAUACGACCUACGGGUGAAAGCAGGGGAUCUUCGGACCUUUCGCGAUUGAAUGAGCCGAUGUCGGAUUAGCUAGUUGGCGGGGUAAAGGCCCACCAAGGCGACGAUCCGUAGCUGGUCUGAGAGGAUGAUCAGCCACACUGGAACUGAGACACGGUCCAGACUCCUACGGGAGGCAGCAGUGGGGAAUAUUGGACAAUGGGCGCAAGCCUGACCCAGCCAUACCGCGUGGGUGAAGAAGGCCUUCGGGUUGUAAAGCCCUUUUGUUGGGAAAGAAAAGCAGCAGGUUAAUAUCCCGCUGUUCUGACGGUACCCAAAGAAUAAGCACCGGCUAACUUCGUG
RNAcentral lists this ribosomal RNA (492 nucleotides) under uncultured bacterium. RNAcentral's name for it is "partial 16S ribosomal RNA". It matches the Rfam family "Bacterial small subunit ribosomal RNA", at positions 29 to 507 of the family's 1533-position model. The record is from RNAcentral.